Molecule: ribosomal RNA, 1485 nt
Filed under: uncultured bacterium
Lineage: Bacteria
Description: bacterial SSU rRNA
Rfam family: Bacterial small subunit ribosomal RNA
Source: RNAcentral
AGAGUUUGAUCCUGGCUCAGGACGAACGCUGGCGGCGUGCUUAACACAUGCAAGUCGAACGGUAAGGCCUCUUCGGAGGUACACGAGUGGCGAACGGGUGAGUAACACGUGAGCAACUUACCCCUGACUUCGGAAUACCAGCUGGAAACAGCUGCUAAUACCGGAUACAACUGUGGCAGUCAUCUGCGACGGUGGAAAGCUCCGGCGGUUGGGGAUGGGCUCGCGGCCUAUCAGCUUGUUGGUGAGGUAACGGCUCACCAAGGCUUCGACGGGUAGCCGGCCUGAGAGGGCGACCGGCCACACUGGGACUGAGAUACGGCCCAGACUCCUACGGGAGGCAGCAGUGGGGAAUAUUGCACAAUGGGCGCAAGCCUGAUGCAGCAACGCCGCGUGCGGGAUGACGGCCUUCGGGUUGUAAACCGCUUUCAGCAGGGACGAAGCGAAAGUGACGGUACCUGCAGAAGAAGGACCGGCUAACUACGUGCCAGCAGCCGCGGUGAUACGUAGGGUCCGAGCGUUGUCCGGAAUUAUUGGGCGUAAAGAGCUCGUAGGCGGUCCGUCACGUCAGAAGUGAAAACUCAGGGCUUAACCCUGAGCCUGCUUUUGAUACGGGCGGACUGGAGGUAUGCAGGGGAGAAUGGAAUUCCUGGUGGAAGCGGUGGAAUGCGCAGAUAUCAGGAGGAACCACCAGUGGCGAAGGCGGUUCUCUGGGCAUUACCUGACGCUGAAGGAGCGAAAGCGUGGGGAGCAAACAGGCUUAGAUACCCUGGUAGUCCACGCCGUAAACGGUGGGCACUAGGUGUGGGGGACAUUCCACGUUCUCCGUGCCGAAGCUAACGCAUUAAGUGCCCCGCCUGGGGAGUACGGCCGCAAGGCUAAAACUCAAAGGAAUUGACGGGGGCCCGCACAAGCGGCGGAGCAUGCGGAUUAAUUCGAUGCAACGCGAAGAACCUUACCUGGGUUUGACAUAUGCCGGAAAGCUGCAGAGAUGUAGCCCCCGCAAGGUCGGUAUACAGGUGGUGCAUGGCUGUCGUCAGCUCGUGUCGUGAGAUGUUGGGUUAAGUCCCGCAACGAGCGCAACCCUCGUCCUAUGUUGCCAGCGGAUAAUGCCGGGGACUCAUAGGAGACUGCCGGGGUCAACUCGGAGGAAGGUGGGGAUGACGUCAAGUCAUCAUGCCCCUUAUGUCCAGGGCUUCACGCAUGCUACAAUGGCUGGUACAAAGAGCUGCAAAACCGUAAGGUCGAGCGAAUCUCAAAAAGCCAGUCUCAGUUCGGAUUGGGGUCUGCAACUCGACCCCAUGAAGUCGGAGUCGCCAGUAAUCGCAGAUCAGCAACGCUGCGGUGAAUACGUUCCCGGGCCUUGUACACACCGCCCGUCAAGUCAUGAAAGUCGGUAACACCCGAAGCCGGUGGCCCAACCCUUGUGGAGGGAGCCGUCGAAGGUGGGACUGGCGAUUAGGACUAAGUCGUAACAAGGUAACCGUA